UUGCCUUACUUGGAAUCACUGAGGGUAUAGCUAGCUAAUUUAUUCCUACUUAUUUUUGCUACUGCAAAGCAUCUUUUAUGUGUAGCUUUACCUGACUGCUUUGGCUGCUGAUGGGUGUGUUCCUUAUUCCUCACCACUAGCUUGGUCAGACUGAUCAGGACCUUGUAAGUGGUUGUCACCACUUCAGAGGAAGGCUAAAAUGCAAGGAAAGGAGAUAUCAAUCAUCACCACAAGUCAAAUUUAUUACAGGGGAGGAACUAUUUUAAAUUAAGACUUUCAUGCCAAAAGGGUGUUAACAGAUGUUCACAUCCACGGUUCAGAACACCUAGAGAUAAAUGAUAUGGAAAAAGGCCUCUGUGACACGGGUCCCUGCUGGCCCUGACUGUACAGGCAGGAAGACACCUAGAUAGAAGAAAAAGAAAGGGUUUAAGAGAGAAAUGGAGAACAGAGAAAGAAGAAGUAACAAGAGUGGCACACCGGAACUGCAAAGAUUUAAAUGGAGAGAGAGAGAGAAGAGUGGAAAGAAAUGACUGCCAAGACCAGUAUGUGUUUGCAUGAUCUCCUUGUCUGUUGUUCUCCAGUUGUGGGGUUUUCCUUGGAAGGAAGUUGUGUGACUCAUCAAGUGAAUAUUCAGCUAAAAUGAAGGGGAUCAUGCAGUCUCUAAUUCAUCUACCAUCUAUAUUUUUAUCCUUGCUAUUAUUUCGUUUACUCAGUGAGAGGGCUAUACCAUUAUUUUCUGUUACUGUAUAAAUAUAGAUGAGAAACAGUUCUGUUGAUGCAUUUAAAUAAGGUAAGCAGCAGAAGAAAUUCAAUUCAGAGUACAUUGCCAUAUCAAACAGCUAAAUCAGACUGUUGUAAUGAAAUAUGUUUGAUGCAGCUUCUUGCUGCAUUUCAGGAAAUCUGCAAAAAAAUAGUUGAGGGGAAAAAUGAAGGGUGAAGAGAAAAUAGUCAGAUUUCCAGUAUUUGAGAUCAAAUUCUCUCAAAGUAGAGAUCAUUGAGACUACACAUGUGGGUUAUUUAACUUUAGUAAUAAAUCAUCUCUGUAUUUGCCAGUCAAGAAAAGGACUUGUAGGAAUUGUCAUGUUAACAUAAGCUCUCAUCUUGCAAAGAGCUGUGUGUGCUGGACCUCCCUUACAUACCAGGUUCACCUGGGUAUUUGCACAUAGUAGAUCUUGGACCAGAUCUGGGCAGCAUUUGCUGUAGAGCAGAGUAUUUAUUGCUGGGGAUGGUCAGAUGGGGAGGUGAUAUUCAGUCCUGAUUCAUAGCACUCUUCUCUCAUAUAUAUUGAGUGAAAACCUAAUGAUAUUCUCUACUUCAAAAAACCCUAACAAAUCAGCAAGUCUAACAGUUUCCAUCAUGAGCAUUUUAUUCAUAAAAUACUGAUGUGUAGGACUAUAAAUUAGUUUGACUUGACUAUUUUAAAAAAAAUUACAGAAAAUGUUUUUCUUUUUGGCAAUGAAAAUGUGAGAAGCAAAUGUAAACGCUGAGAGUGCUGAGGAGUUAGUGAAAUGAAAUGUGAUAUGGACAUUUUGUUUGAAAAAUCAGUACGUCCUCUCUUUGGGAAGGGGAACUCUUUCUGGGCUUUCUCUGUUAAGGGUACCUACGUCCUUCCUGGCAUCAUAUUCAUCAACAGGGACUCCAAGGAGACCUGUAUUGUUGCUAGAAGUGCAGUGCUGCUAUUGCAAGUAAUAUGUCAUCAUAGCUGAGAUCAAGACUUGUCUGCAUGGAAACCCCAGUUUUCUUAACUGGCUUAAGAAAGUGGGACUGCUCUCUUUUCAGGCCUUUUGCUGAAGGAGGUUGAAUCAUAAACCUUUAAAAGAUGUCUUUCUUUUUUUUUUUAAUUUUAAACUUGUACCUUAUAAAGUUACGCUGCUGGCAUGAUUUGCAAUUGAAUUAGCUUUGUGUAUUUGAGCAGUGCUGUGUUUGGUAAUUCAUAACCAUUCAGAGAGGUUUCUGAGAAAUAUUUUCAUGUUUGUAUAUAAUACCAUUGUGCAAAUACUAAUUGCUUUCCUAAAACAAAAUAUCGGACAGGAAUUUCUGUUAAAUGUUUGGUGCUGACAGGUCUGUAAAACAUUAAUGGCUUGCAGCAACAACAUUUACCUACGUUGGAAUUUUCUGUUGUGCAUGUUAUCAUAAACCUAAACUCUUGAAAGUUGAAGGCUUGUUCUAGGAGGGGAGAUGCUCACAUCUAUUGAUGACAGAUUGGUUACAGUACACAAGUUUUGAGAACAGACUCUGAAAUAACUAAUGAAAAAUAGCAAGAGAAACCCAGUCUAGUAAGAUAACUCUUUCCAGCAGUCAUAUCACAAGGACUACUUUUAUGUCCUUCUGCUGUAGUAUUUAUUUUGUGCUACUUACUUUAUUCAUUGUUCAUCCUUUUGGAGAGUAAAAUCACUGGGGCUGAAAGACUAAUUAUGAAUUACCAAAUUGUUCAAAUCAAGCAGCAACAAAUACAACAGGAGAUAAGCUUGAGACAUUACAAAAUAUAUUCUGUUCACUUUUUGCUAUAGUAAUGUGGCUAAAAUGAUUUGUGAUGAUACAAUACCACCAUUGUCCAUGACGUACAGUAAGCACCACCUGUGGGGCUGUACUCAGGUUUUACUGAGGUAAAUCUAGCUUGCUGCUGAGGCAAAAGGGUGUUUUUACAGUCAGAUAAUAAUUGAUGGAAUAUAUUAUUCACACUUUUUAGGAUUGGUGUGUGUGGGAAGAUUAUUUCAGAGAACUUUAGAAGGAAGUAAUAGUUAUAACAUCAAUGUCUAUCUAUUUUUGUCCUACUUACAUGUCUUCCAAGUGUUUCUGUGAGAGAGCCAGAUUGUUUGAGGGCACAUGAGCCUUCUGUGAGAGUGUGUGUUAUUUUGCCUGCAAAAAGAUUCAUGUUGAACCUUCUGCCAUAUGAUUAGACCAUUUUGGUUAUGUUAGGCCAAUUAGAAUGUACACUGAGGGAUUUUUAAAGGGCUUUUCAAAAUGCUUUGACCUGGGAAAUUAUUACGGUGUAUAUUGACAGUAAAUAACCAAACAGAUAUCUUCAUAUAAUAUACUUUAUGCAGGGAAGAUGGUUUCAGUAAAGACAGUCAAUGAAACCUGAAAUUGGUCUUACGUUUAGCUUGCUGAAUGCUUUGAGGUUGGCUUUCAGGUUCAGUUCAGAUCAUAAUAGCACUCUCUUAAAUUCUAUGCCCAUAGCUGAUGUCUAUUAAAUGAAAUGUGAAAUACACUUAGAUACCACACCAAACCUUAUUGCCUCUUUUAUAACAGCAACACUUCUAUGGCAGUAAAGGAAUUGAUUCUCUUGUCUGGAUUAAUACUGUCCUACUUUAUAGAGAAAACAGAGAAAAUUAUCUAUUCAGAAAAGCACAGCCGUCUUAGAAGAAAAUUCACCUUUAUAUAAAUAAAUACAUACUCUGUGAAGAUAUUUAAAGUGCUUAAGUCAAACAAAAAUACUCAAUUCACAAGAAAACAAAAACCUGUGGAAAACAUUUGAAGUUAGAGAGAACAUUAAAAAUAAAAAUGGAAAUGUUUAUUUUGUAUGACACAAGUGUAACAAGAUUUGCAAAGGCAAAUCAACCAAGGCUAAUAAUAACGGCCAUUUCCACGUAAUUAAUCUGGGAGAUCAGCUCAAGACUGGGCACUGCUUGAUGCAAAGGUUCCUGGGACUAUCAUUAAAAGAUUUUUCUUCACUUAAAGAACAUGAUUAUUUUCUUGUGAGUAUGAAGAAAAAAGUGGAUUUUCUGUUUCUGAAUGACAGUAUAUAUGCUCUUACACAUAUUCCAGUCUGCACUUUAAAACACUUUAAAUAUAAGUUGGGUUGUGUGGAAGGUUUUAGAAAAAUGAAUGCAUAAAUUUAUAUCUAGUUGAAUUCUAGCUGGUUAUAAAAGGAGUAAAGAGUAUGAUUUGAAACUCGGAUUUAUUUUACAGAGACAUCAAGACAUUUCUGGCAGAUAAAAUGACUACUUCAAAUAAUAAGACAGUGCUAGAUAAAAUGUGUUGAAAAUCAUGCUUAUAACAUAAACUUUCAAUUGGCAAUAUUUUUUGAGAACUUUUAGAAGUCUUUGUGAAUGGGUGAAGACAUAUGAACAUUUGCAGGAGGAAUUAAAAAAUUUACACCUACAUAAAAAACCUAAAUAUUAGCAGACACAAAGGAGUUCUUGAAAGUGAAGUAGUGAAAUGAAAUGGUCAAAUGUAAGAUCACGGUGUGCUUUUGCAAAUCUCUGCAAGGAGGACCACUAGUACUAUUUAGCCCAAAAAGACUACAGAAAAGUAGAGCAAUGAAUAUGGAGGAUCUGUACACAAAGUCCUAGAUUUUUUUUUAAGGUGGAAGGAUGUUGUUUUAUUUAAGAAGUCCCAUACAGAAAAAAAGCUCUAUGUUUCCCUGAAACAUUUUAAUAAAUAUUUUCAAAUCCAAGAGAUCUUCCAAAGUAUGAAAGAACGUGCAGGAAAAAACACAGACAAUUUGUAAAGUUUGCAGAAGUUAGGAAUCAAAGUCAUGAAACUUAUUAAGUGCUGCUGUAAUUCAUGGAUGAUAACUCAGCUGCUUGUACAUUAUUAACUCCUGAUAAGGAUCAGAGUGAUCCAGAUGUGUAAAUGAAGAUAAUUUGAGGAGGAUGAAUGACCUUUCUGUUGAGGUCAUCGAGCAACUGAGUUUAGAUUGGCAGUCUGCUUGGUUUCCUGUGUCAUGAAAUGCCAGAGUACUAAUGUGAUGGAUAGAGUCCAAAGUAUUUUAUGCUACUUUGUCUGUAAGGUCACCCAGCCUUUAUAUGCAGAGGGCAGGUAUACAUAGAAUAACUUCCCCAUUUAAGAUAUUAGUUUCUAUUGCUUCUCAAGGUGAACUGUGAAACCUAACCAAGUAUAUUUUUUGGAUAGCCUUACUCUGCUAUCUAGACCAGAUGUAAGCGAUAGUGAAAGGAAAAAUUACAUGUAUUUUAACAAUGACAUGGCAGCAGGUUUAACUAGACCAGCUCUUUUCAGCCUUUCUCAAGAAUACCUUUGCAAAAAGGGCAUCUGCUCCCACAAACUUCAGAUCAUAAUUUGUAAUUCUCAGAUAGGGAGUUUAUUGUGUUUUUCUCCAGAAGAACCUUUGUAUUGUAAUUUUCUGUAAGAGACUUUGCUCUAGAAGCUGAAU
Long non-coding RNA from Passer domesticus (house sparrow), 5116 nucleotides. RefSeq lists it as uncharacterized. Lineage: Eukaryota; Metazoa; Chordata; Aves; Passeriformes; Passeridae. The record is from RefSeq and is a predicted model, not a curated record. The transcript is spliced from 4 exons.